Molecule: long non-coding RNA, 175 nt
Organism: Gorilla gorilla gorilla (western lowland gorilla)
Lineage: Eukaryota; Metazoa; Chordata; Mammalia; Primates; Hominidae
Source: Ensembl
UUACAUCUAUGAAGAUGUUACAUCAUGAUACAAGAUAGCCCAUGGGAAAAUUGUGAUGAGGAAAUGAUUCCAAAUGGAUAUCUCAUCAAAGGCGCUUGGCAUGCUUUUCACAGUUCUAAAGACAUUUUAAUAUACUUGCUUCUAUACUAAACAAGUUUAUAUACCAAAUAUUAUG